UGACCGGCAGGUUCAAAGGAUGCUCUCCACCCCCGGGGGGCCCUUGGCCCAUCCAGGUCGGGUCACCUGAGAGCCCCUCCCGCCGUACCUGGUUGGUGCUGCCUGGGUUCCCUCCCCUCUCCCCCCGGUUAAAAGGACGAGCACGCCAUGCACUUGGAGUUCUCCUGGAGCUCUUACUGCGUUCAGAGGCCAUGCGGCCCAGAAUAAAACCUCUGGAUUAACCCUCCAUGAGGACCGACUCCUUCUUCACCAUCGCCUUAAAAGGUUUCUCCAGCACAGGGAGGCCUGAGGAGUGACCCUCUUCCACCGACAAGCCCCAGCCGUAAGCACUGGAGCUCGGACUGGAGCUCGGGACAUGCCCGGACCUGUCCCCUCGUGCCCACCGGUGGCGUCUCUGGGGAGAAAAGACCACGGGUGCCGCUGUUGGGUUCAGCAGCAGGGACCAGACAAGCCAAGGCACUCCUGUUCAGUGAUACUGAAUGAAUACACAAAAGGAGAGGACAGGAAUAGGACACUAUCCCUUCCUUCCCAAAGGAACUGUGAGCAGCAGGUUGUUUGGCAGAUGAAGACACAACAAAUGAGAUUACCCCAGCUUACUCUGGAUUUAGUAUUACUGCUUGUGUGAUGGGGCUGUUUUGCCCAUGGUUGUAACUGGUGAAUGAGCUCCCUCUCCUUAUCUUGGCAUCCCCACUCCAGUGCUUUACAGAUUUAGUGCUGAUACUACUCUUCUACCUCCUCCCUGUCAAGCAGCACAAGUGGAAUGGGAAAUAGCCUGGACCAUCUAUUCACAACCUGAAGUCUGUACAAUAUGCAAUAGCAGCAUAUGAAUCCUGAAGUUCAACCAAAUAUGGAGUUUCAAAAAUUGUCUUUAUUGGCAAAGCCAUUUAUCACCAGACCUAAGAUUCAGCUAACAUGAAAGUACAGGUAAACUUCAUAUUUGACAAAAUUCACAGGCAUUGCAACAAGAAAACUGAGCUCAGUAUCUUCACAUUAUGAAAUUGUGUAAACUGCAAGUCUGACAUGAAGACAAGGAACCUUAAAAAUUAUCACAGUCAGGAAGGUUCAUUGAUUCUCUCUUUAGUAACAAUCUCCAUUUUUAAGAAGCCUAGUUAAGAAUUCCUUUGAUAAAUGCCUUUCAGUAACAAACACAAUGGAAACUACACUUUCACAGUUGUUCUUCACACAUGAUCUUCCCUGAAACGCUAUUAAAAGCUGAGGAAUGAGUUUUGAGAACAGUAGGAUACCAAACUAGACCUGAGUCAGUGAGAAAAAAAUCACACUCUCAAAAAUAUUAAGAUCUGAGAGUGCACCCCAUGUCCAGUAAUCUCAAACAACAAAACACUAGUGGCAAACUGCCAUUAUGAUUAAAUGAUGUCAGUGUGCUCCAAUAUUGUACUGCUUUUAUUACAGCCAUAUUUUACUUACAGUUUGUUGGUUGAUAUCAUCUUCUCCCAUAGGUUCAUCCACAAUUUGCUGUCCAUUCUGUAAAAAAAAAGACACAAAGUAAAAAUAAAUACUGAAUCCAAGUACAGAAAUAAAUAUAUUGGAGAUAGGCUUUCAUAUCAUAUUCCUGUACUCUCUUCUCCAUAUUCUACAAAAGCAGGUAAUUGAAAGUAAACAUGGAAAACUCCCUAUUGCUGACAUGUAAUGCCACUCCUGCUUUGAUCCUUGUGUAUUCUCAACCUGGAUGAAGUCACAAUAAGAAAUACAUAAAACCACCUGGCAUUUCAAGUCUCACUGCUACACAGCUAGACACUAUUUUCCAUUACUACAACCUCUGCAAAAUAGUUAAACCUGAUGAAGACUGAAUGGCAAAAAGCCACACAAAGGGGCUCUAAGAGCAUGACCUUACAUAUAGGUCUAUAGCACAGACUUAAAAAAAACAUUGAAUGCAAUUCUGAUUUUACUAUCAAUUUUACAGCAUUUACCACUUUCUAUACUUUCCCAAGGGCCAUUUUAACAAGCCAUACAGAAAAAGGCUUUUGAAUUUGAAAUUUAGACAUAAAGUUAAAAAAAAAAAAAUCUUAAAUACCUUGUUGGUCAACAAAGGCUUUCUUUUGCUUGACAGUGAUAAUAUACUUGGAGAAUUUCUAAGAAAUAUUUUUCCCUGAAAGACUUUGAAUGACUUUGCUUACACAACAAGCAUGACCAAUAGCAAGUUGUAAGUAAAAGUAUGUAUUUCCUAAGUUAUGGUACAGGGCAUCACCUCAGGCAUUAAUUCUUAGUUUGUGCCUAAAGUUUAACAGCAAUUCAGUAUCACAUUUCAGAAAGAAAUGAAAAAAUAUUAAAAAGGGUUACCAUUCUCCAUUACCAUUGGAGACAGAAUUUUAGCUCAUUUGUGCAUUGUUUCCCUAGAGAACUCAAAGUCUAAUUAAUCAAUUUUUUCAAAUCCUAAUUUACUUAAAAGUUACAUACACGUAUAGAUAGUUACCUUUUAGAUGUCAGAAAGUUAAUGAAAGCUGUUCAGAAAUUCAGAUUUCUGCUUAUACCCUCCUUCCCACUACUCAGUUUUUCAACAGAAUUCUUCAGAACCUUCCUAGUAAAAACUUCUGAUUAAUAGAACCUUCUACCUUGCAUAUGGCUACAGGAGAGUCUUUCCUAUGUGACAGAUUAAAUUCUAACCACUUACAAAUUCUGAUUUUCAAAUAUUGCAAGCACACUGAAUGGUCAAUCAGAUGAUUACCAGCUCUCUAGCAACUCUUCUCUUGUGCAUUUUUUUUUUCUGGAAGAUGGAGCUAGAAAAAGCUAAAUUAUAGGAGUUAUGGAUUUCCCCAAUAUGAC
Long non-coding RNA from Passer domesticus (house sparrow), 2781 nucleotides. RefSeq lists it as uncharacterized. NCBI's taxonomy places the organism in Eukaryota, Metazoa, Chordata, Aves, Passeriformes, Passeridae. The transcript has 4 exons. The record is from RefSeq and is a predicted model, not a curated record.